This 398-nucleotide ribosomal RNA is filed under the name uncultured bacterium. RNAcentral describes it as "bacterial SSU rRNA". It matches the Rfam family "Bacterial small subunit ribosomal RNA", at positions 361 to 776 of the family's 1533-position model. The record is from RNAcentral.
AUAUUGGACAAUGGGCGAAAGCCUGAUCCAGCCAUGCCGCGUGAGUGAUGAAGGCCCUAGGGUUGUAAAGCUCUUUCGCAGGUGAAGAUAAUGACGGUAACCUGAGAAGAAGCCCCGGCUAACUUCGUGCCAGCAGCCGCGGUAAUACGAAGGGGGCUAGCGUUGUUCGGAAUUACUGGGCGUAAAGCGCACGUAGGCGGAUUGUUAAGUUAGGGGUGAAAUCCCGGGGCUCAACCCCGGAACUGCCUUUAAUACUGGCAAUCUCGAGUCCGAGAGAGGUGAGUGGAAUUCCGAGUGUAGAGGUGAAAUUCGUAGAUAUUCGGAGGAACACCAGUGGCGAAGGCGGCUCACUGGCUCGGUACUGACGCUGAGGUGCGAAAGCGUGGGGAGCAAACAGG